UAGGAUUUGAUUUAGGAUUAGAAUUGGGUUAGGAUUUGAUUUCAGAUUAGGAUUUGGUUAGAAUUUGAUUUAAGAUUAGAGUUUGAUUAGGAUUUAAUUUAGGAUUAAGGUUUGGUUAGGAUUUUAUUUAGUGUUAGGAUUUGGUUAAGGUUUGAUUUAGGAUUAGGAUUUGGUUUAGGAUUAGGAUUUGAUUAGGAUUUGAUUUAGGAUUUAGAGUUUGAUUUAGGAUUGAUUAAGAUUUGAUUAAGGAUUUAAUAUUUGAUUAGGAUUUGAUUUAGGGUUUAGGAUUUGGUUUAGGAUUUAAGAUUUGGUUAAGGUUUGGUUAGGAUUUGAUUUAGGAUUUAAGGUUUUAUUUGAACUUGUUUAAGAUUUAAGAUUUAGUUAGUUUUUGGACUAAAGUUUGAAUGAAGUCCAAUAAAAUUUUAACUACAAUAAAUUAA
Molecule: long non-coding RNA, 440 nt
Filed under: Physcomitrium patens
Lineage: Eukaryota; Viridiplantae; Streptophyta; Bryopsida; Funariales; Funariaceae
Description: long non-coding RNA (PPAT_LNC004399)
Source: RNAcentral